This 573-nucleotide ribosomal RNA is filed under the name Triticum aestivum (bread wheat). RNAcentral describes it as "partial small subunit ribosomal RNA". Lineage: Eukaryota; Viridiplantae; Streptophyta; Magnoliopsida; Poales; Poaceae. The record is from RNAcentral.
AUGGACAGUGAAGCCUGUACAAGUCACGUCGACCUCCUGGAGAGGCUUCUGCUUGAUGAAAGCGCAGAGCCCACAAACCUGCCUUUAUCACUCCUGCAAGGCAUCACAAAUUGUUUCUCUUCUGAUCACGAAAUUGGCAGAGGCGGGUUUGCGGUGGUUUAUAAGGGAGUUGUCGGCAAAGGUAUAGUCGCUGUGAAGAAGCUGACCAACACAUUUGCUGUUCCGGAGAUUAAAUUCCAUGAAGAGGCUAGAAAUCUGAUAAAGGCCAAGCACAAGAAUAUAGUACGGUUUCUGGGGUAUUGUGCUGACACGCAAGGAAAAAUGGAAGAAUACGAGGGGAAUCUUGUCAUGGCAGAUCAACGGAACUGGUUACUCUGUUUUGAGUAUGUAUGCAACGGGAGUCUCGAUAAGCACAUUACCGAUGCAACUUGUGGACUUAAUUGGAGAAAUCGGUAUCAAAUAAUCAGGGGGUUGUCUGAGGGCUUAGUUUUCCUCCGUGAGAAGGGAAUUCUUCACUUGGACCUGAAGCCAGCUAAUAUACUUAGAUGGUCACAUGAUACCCAAAAUUGCUGA